RNAcentral lists this long non-coding RNA (299 nucleotides) under Salvia miltiorrhiza (redroot sage). Its description in RNAcentral is "long non-coding RNA (SMIL_LNC001686)". Lineage: Eukaryota; Viridiplantae; Streptophyta; Magnoliopsida; Lamiales; Lamiaceae. The record is from RNAcentral.
UUUUAAAGAGGAAGCAUCCCUCAAACUGUUGUGUCCAUUAAAUCAUAUUACCAUAUUGACACCAAAAACACUAUGUUCCACAUAAAUUAUUUGUAAGAAUCACAUUUCCAUGUCAGAGUUUUCAUGCAAAAUGAAUUCAUGCUAUUAUUUAUCAUGUUCGACAGCAAGCUCUUUCACACAACCUCCGACAGAAUAACAUUCACACAACACCAUUUGCAAAUAAUAUACACAUGCAGCCAAAUAUUAAAAAAAAAAAACAGCAACAUAGUGAAUAUAAUUCAAAUAACCUAGGUCUCCUG